Molecule: small nuclear RNA, 140 nt
Organism: Callithrix jacchus (white-tufted-ear marmoset)
Lineage: Eukaryota; Metazoa; Chordata; Mammalia; Primates; Cebidae
Gene: U4
Rfam family: U4 spliceosomal RNA
About the family: U4 small nuclear RNA (U4 snRNA) is a component of the major U2-dependent spliceosome. The structure of U4 snRNA from yeast and human has been reported.
Source: Ensembl
AGCCAAGUGUGGCUUUGUGUAGCGGCCAAUGAGGUUUAUUUGAGACGGGAUUACUGCUAAUUGAAAACUUUUCCCAAUACCCCGCCAUGAUGACUGGCAAUAUAGUCAGCGUUGGCAAUUUUUGGCAGUCUCUACAGAGA